UACGAAGGGGGCUAGCGUUGUUCGGAAUUACUGGUCGUAAAGCGCGCGCAGGCGGCUAUCCAAGUCAGUGGUGAAAGCCCGGAGCUCAACUCCGGAACUGCCAUUGAAACUGUUUAGCUUGAGGAUGAGAGAGGUGAGUGGAAUUCCCAGUGUAGAGGUGAAAUUCGUAGAUAUUGGGAAGAACACCGGUGGCGAAGGCGGCUCACUGGCUCAUUACUGACGCUCAGGCGCGAUAGCGUGGGGAUCAAACAGG
RNAcentral lists this ribosomal RNA (253 nucleotides) under uncultured bacterium. RNAcentral's name for it is "partial 16S ribosomal RNA". It matches the Rfam family "Bacterial small subunit ribosomal RNA", at positions 524 to 776 of the family's 1533-position model. The record is from RNAcentral.